CAUGUACUCCCUCCGGCCAAAAAUACUUGUCAUCAAAAUGGAUGUAUCUAGCUUUUAUCCAUUUUGAUGGUAUUUUGAUGACAAGUAUUUUUGGACGGAGGGAGUACUAC
Non-coding RNA from Triticum aestivum (bread wheat), 110 nucleotides. Lineage: Eukaryota; Viridiplantae; Streptophyta; Magnoliopsida; Poales; Poaceae. The record is from Rfam.